Molecule: ribosomal RNA, 484 nt
Filed under: uncultured bacterium
Lineage: Bacteria
Description: partial 16S ribosomal RNA
Rfam family: Bacterial small subunit ribosomal RNA
Source: RNAcentral
AUUGAACGCUGGCGGCAUGCUUUACACAUGCAAGUCGAACGGCAGCGCGGGCUUCGGCCUGGCGGCGAGUGGCGAACGGGUGUGUAAUGCACCGGAAUGUGCCCAGUAGUGGGGGAUAGCACGGUGAAAGCCCGAUUAAUACCGCAUACGACCUGAGGGUGAAAGCCGGGGACCGAAAGGCCUCGCGCUAUUGUAGCGGCCGAUGUCGGAUUAGCUAGUUGGUGGGGUAAAGGCUUACCAAGACGACGAUUCGUAGUUGGUCUGAGAGAACGACCAGCCACACUGGGACUGAAACACGGCCCAGACUCCUGCGGGAGGCAGCAGUGGGGAAUUUUGGACAAUGGGGGCAACCCUGAACCAGCCAUGCCACGUGCGGGAAGAAGACGUUCGGGUUGUAAACCGCUUUUGUUCGGGAGGAAAUCCUCUGGGCUAAUACCCCGGGGGGAUGACGGUACCGGAGGAAUAAGCACCGGCUAACUACGUG